RNAcentral lists this ribosomal RNA (253 nucleotides) under uncultured bacterium. RNAcentral's name for it is "partial 16S ribosomal RNA". It matches the Rfam family "Bacterial small subunit ribosomal RNA", at positions 524 to 776 of the family's 1533-position model. The record is from RNAcentral.
UACGGAGGGGGCUAUCGUUGUUCGGAAUUACUGGGCGUAAAGCGCACGUAGGCGGGCUGGAAAGUCAGGGGUGAAAUCCCGGGGCUCAACCCCGGAACUGCCUUUGAAACUUCCAGUCUUGAGGUCGAGAGAGGUGGGUGGAAUUCCGAGUGUAGAGGUGAAAUUCGUAGAUAUUCGGAGGAACACCGGUGGCGAAGGCGGCCCACUGGCUCGAUACUGACGCUGAGGUGCGAAAGCGUGGGGAGAAAACAGG